This 415-nucleotide ribosomal RNA is filed under the name uncultured bacterium. RNAcentral's name for it is "bacterial SSU rRNA". It matches the Rfam family "Bacterial small subunit ribosomal RNA", at positions 402 to 809 of the family's 1533-position model. The record is from RNAcentral.
UGCAGGAUGAAGGCCUUCGGGUUGUAAACUGCUUUUGUACGGAACGAAAAGCCCUGGGUUAAUACCCUGGGGUCAUGACGGUACCGUAAGAAUAAGCACCGGCUAACUACGUGCCAGCAGCCGCGGUAAUACGUAGGGUGCGAGCGUUAAUCGGAAUUACUGGGCGUAAAGCGUGCGCAGGCGGUUUUGUAAGACAGAGGUGAAAUCCCCGGGCUCAACCUGGGAACUGCCUUUGUGACUGCAAGGCUAGAGUACGGCAGAGGGGGAUGGAAUUCCGCGUGUAGCAGUGAAAUGCGUAGAUAUGCGGAGGAACACCGAUGGCGAAGGCAAUCCCCUGGGCCUGUACUGACGCUCAUGCACGAAAGCGUGGGGAGCAAACAGGAUUAGAUACCCUGGUAGUCCACGCCCUAAACGA